CUUUCUUUUUUUCUUCUUAAUGCAAGAAGUCUUCCGCGUCCACCGCAGUAGGAGGCGGAAAAUUCAUACUCCUAGGGGGUAUCUUUAUCCGUUGCAGUUAAAAAGCUUGUAGAGAAAUUGGGCGGGUUAUUAGUUAAGCCCGCUUCCGGAAGAACUUCUUCCAGUCCUUUGAAAAAAUUAGAGUGUUCAACGCAGGUUUCGCCUGAAUAUAUUAGCAUGGAAUAACAUAACACGACGAGGGUCCAUUUUUUUGGCUGCAAACCCACGUAAUGAUUAAUAGGGACAGUCGGGGGCGUCAGUAUUGUGUUGUCAGAGGUGAAAUUUUUUGGAUUUACACAAG
Molecule: ribosomal RNA, 340 nt
Filed under: Yarrowia lipolytica
Lineage: Eukaryota; Fungi; Ascomycota; Dipodascomycetes; Dipodascales
Description: partial small subunit ribosomal RNA
Rfam family: Eukaryotic small subunit ribosomal RNA (bases 91-340)
Source: RNAcentral